AACUUGGUAAAGAAUUCUUAAUAAGCGUCUUUACCGAGCUGUUGGUAAUUACGCGUCCUACAAAAAUUAUACGGGGUUAUUACCGUAUCAAUACCAACCGGGUAACUGGCCAUCCACCGCAAUGUUUUAAGUUAUCUUUAUAAUUUUGGUAAUAAAUUCCUACGAGUCGGUAAUUAUAUCCUACAAAUUUAGAUAACACUCUUUACCAUAAUUUUUGUAAAGCGCAGUACAAAUUGGUGCUAAUGAGAUCUACAUUUUGGUGUAGUUUAUUACCAUGGAGUUUUAGUUUCCGCUCAGCUCAACUCAAGUCAACAUGGCGAAAUUAAUCCAUUCUGUCCAGAAGUUUUUAUCAGUGAAAAAACUGAUAAAAACUUCUGGGAAUUAUAUAGAAUUGUUGAAACAGUGAAACAAAAAUUUAAGUUGGAAAUCGGAGCAGAUUGCAACUUCGUGUAAAUAUGUAUACAUGUGUGUGUAUGUCAUUCCAUAGUUUGCAUUAUACUUAAAUUUUAUAAUU
Folsomia candida is the source of this 514-nucleotide long non-coding RNA. RefSeq lists it as uncharacterized. The transcript has 3 exons. The record is from RefSeq and is a predicted model, not a curated record. NCBI's taxonomy places the organism in Eukaryota, Metazoa, Arthropoda, Collembola, Entomobryomorpha, Isotomidae.